GAGAAUAAACCCCAAAUGUGGGGCUUGAAUGUUCCGAAUGACUUCAGUUUGGAGGAAAACAGGAAAAGGGAGGGGAAAAGGGGACAUAAAUGAAGGUUUUCCUGGGGGAUCCCAAUCUGGCCAGUGUCAAAUUGCCCCAGUGUGCCUGGGAUUGGAUUUAUGUGGAUAAUGUAUAGAUAUUCCCCAUAUUCCAUGUCUACCUUGUGAUUUAUGUCCUAAAUCGGUAUUUUAUGUGCCCUAAAUGGAUUUUUACGUGGAUAAUAAUCAUAUCCCAUUAUAAAUAUAUCGCUAUAAAGUGUCUAAUCCAUAAUGUUGGCAUCAGAAAGUCCAUGUUUGACCUAGUCCAUGUCUCUCUGCUCCCAGGGCGCCUCACAGAGCUGCUGGGUAUGUGUGUUCUCCUGGCCAUAAAUCCCAUGGGAAAAGGGCUGAUAAUGGCAUUAACUGGGAUCUCUUCCCUCUUGCAGAGAGCCAGGAUUCAGGAAUACGGGAUCUGGAGCAGAGCUGGAUGAGCUGGUUCCAAACGGCCCCACAUCCAUCCAUGGGGAUUUGGUGGCUCCGUUUGGCUCUUCCCAUCCUUUGGCAUCUACUUUUGGGGAUAAAGGCAGAGGGCCAAAGGGGCCUAAAAUAACACCAAGGAAAAGUAGCCAAGGGAUAGACCCUGGGAUGGGGAUGGGAAAUGGGGCUGGAAAAGGGCAAAUCCAGGUCUCACCUUUUCCUUUCCCUCUUUUCCCUCUGGCAGAGGAGCUGAGGGAGCAGGAAGCUGAUGGAUCUUCUGAGGAGCUGGGUAAAGCUCCAGCUUCCUUCCAACUGGAAAACUGGGAUGGGCCGAGGGCUG
Long non-coding RNA from Neopsephotus bourkii (Bourke's parrot), 835 nucleotides. RefSeq lists it as uncharacterized. The transcript is spliced from 3 exons. The record is from RefSeq and is a predicted model, not a curated record. Lineage: Eukaryota; Metazoa; Chordata; Aves; Psittaciformes; Psittacidae.